RNAcentral lists this ribosomal RNA (482 nucleotides) under uncultured bacterium. Its description in RNAcentral is "partial 16S ribosomal RNA". It matches the Rfam family "Bacterial small subunit ribosomal RNA", at positions 30 to 507 of the family's 1533-position model. The record is from RNAcentral.
AUUGAACGCUGGCGGCAUGCCUUACACAUGCAAGUCGAACGGUAACGGGCCUUCGGGUGCCGACGAAUGGCGAACGGGUGAGUAAUACAUCGGAACGUGCCCGAUCGUGGGGGAUAACGAGGCGAAAGCUUUGCUAAUACCGCAUACGAUCUACGGAUGAAAGCAGGGGACCGCAAGGCCUUGCGCGGACGGAGCGGCCGAUGGCAGAUUAGGUAGUUGGUGGGAUAAAAGCUUACCAAGCCGACGAUCUGUAGCUGGUCUGAGAGGAUGAUCAGCCACACUGGGACUGAGACACGGCCCAGACUCCUACGGGAGGCAGCAGUGGGGAAUUUUGGACAAUGGGCGCAAGCCUGAUCCAGCCAUGCCGCGUGCAGGAUGAAGGCCUUCGGGUUGUAAACUGCUUUUGUACGGAACGAAAAGCCUUCUUUUAAUACAGGAGGGUCAUGACGGUACCGUAAGAAUAAGCACCGGCUAACUACGUG